AACCCGACUACAUGAAGCCGGAAUCGCUAGUAAUCGCGGAUCAGAAUGCCGCGGUGAAUACGUUCCCGGGUCUUGUACACACCGCCCGUCACACCAUGGGAGUCGGAAAUGCCCGAAGUCUGUGACCCAACCGCAAGGAGGGAGCAGCCGAAGGCAGGUCGGAUGACUGGGGUGAAGUCGUAACAAGGUAAC
This 192-nucleotide ribosomal RNA is filed under the name uncultured bacterium. RNAcentral describes it as "partial 16S ribosomal RNA". It matches the Rfam family "Bacterial small subunit ribosomal RNA", at positions 1309 to 1500 of the family's 1533-position model. The record is from RNAcentral.